UACGUAGGGUGCGAGCGUUACUCGGAAUUACUGGGCGUAAAGCGUGCGCAGGCGGUUAUGCAAGACAGAUGUGAAAUCCCCGGGCUCAACCUGGGAACUGCAUUUGUGACUGCAUGACUAGAGUACGGCAGAGGGGGAUGGAAUUCCGCGUGUAGCAGUGAAAUGCGUAGAUAUGCGGAGGAACACCGAUGGCGAAGGCAAUCCCCUGGGCCUGUACUGACGCUCAUGCACGAAAGCGUGGGGAGCAAACAGG
RNAcentral lists this ribosomal RNA (253 nucleotides) under uncultured bacterium. Its description in RNAcentral is "partial 16S ribosomal RNA". It matches the Rfam family "Bacterial small subunit ribosomal RNA", at positions 524 to 776 of the family's 1533-position model. The record is from RNAcentral.